CGUCAAAUCAUCAUGCCCCUUAUGUUCUGGGCUACACACGUGUUACAAUGGCUAGUACAACGAGCAGCCAACUCGCGAGAGUGAGCAAAUCUCUUAAACCUAGUCUCAGUUCGGAUUGCACUCUGCAACUCGAGUGCAUGAAGUCGGAAUCGCUAGUAAACGCAGAUCAGCACGCUGCGUUGAAUACGUUCCCGGGUCUU
This 200-nucleotide ribosomal RNA is filed under the name uncultured prokaryote. Its description in RNAcentral is "partial 16S ribosomal RNA". It matches the Rfam family "Bacterial small subunit ribosomal RNA", at positions 1183 to 1382 of the family's 1533-position model. The record is from RNAcentral.